UUUUUCUUUUGGUAGAUGCGGUCUCAGUAUGUUGCCCAGGCUGGGCUUGAACUCCUAGCCGUAAGCCAUCCUCCCACCUUGGCCUCCCAAAGUGCUGAGGUCACAAGGCAUAAGCCACCACGCCCAACCCCAUUUUUCUUUUGUGGGGGCUUCAGUGGCACAAGGGGUAGUCAGUGGUGGACCAAGCUUCCACCCUUUUAUAAUAGGAAGGGUUGCCCAUCUACUGGAAACCUCCACAAUAUUUGUAUGAAAGAAAAACAGCAUUUUUCUCUAGCAGAGAAAUUGGAACUCAGUUGGAAGAUGAAGACUAGUCAGUUCAAGCUAGCAACAAUGGCAAUGGUUUGGUGGGGUGGGAGGAUCCCAUGGUGUGACGCAGGUCUGAGCCCUGGCCGUGCUGGAUGUGGUCAUGAGCUUCGUCUAGUCAUCAGUCUGUCUCCUACAUGCCAGGGAUCCCACCAGGAGGCGUGUGAGUUUGGAUGGGGAGGCAAAUGCAGUGUUCCUGCCCUCAUGGAGUUGACUGGUGGGGGAGGCUGGUGUACAAUCUUGCGGGAGCAUCGCCUGGGAACCCUGAAGGAUGAAUAGGGAGGAGCUGGCCAAGUCGAAAGGAGCGGGUGGUGUCAAGAGACCCCAGCAGAAGGACCAUCGUGCACAAAGAGCCAGAUCUGAUGGGGCCUAGCUCCUGCCAGGGCAGUGGGUGCCUAGUGAGGCUGGAGCCAGAAAGCAGAGCCUCGGAGGGGUGCAGGGUACUUCCCACUUUGUCCAGGAGGAGCCUGAGGCCCAGGGAGCGGGACCUUGCCCUGGGAUAACCCAGCAAGUGAGCACUGGAGCCAGAGCUAGAGCUAAAGGCGCCAGGCCCCAGGCUCAACUGUAUUCUCCACAUGUGCUGAGUCAUGUUCUCAGGGUGCUGUUCCCUAGGUGGUCACAUUUGACUCUCACAAUGACCCUGUAAGGGAGGAAGAAUUCUUCUGCCCAUUUCUCAGAACUAGGAAACUGAGGAUCAUCUGGUUGACUGAGUGAAUGAAUGAGCUCAGUUUUCAUACGUUCACCCAGUUCAUACUAGGCAGAGCCAGGCAGAGGCUUUUGGCCGCAAAGCCAGGGUUUUAUCCAUUGUCUCCACUACCUAAAGCAUGUGCCUGCUCCAGGCAGGGGACCACCGAUGCCCAGGACAAAAUCCUAGUUGUCUUACUUGUUAAAUUAGUUUAAAUUAUUAUUACUGUUAUGAGUAAUAACAGUCUUGUGUUUUAAGUGUUUUGUUUUGUUUUUUAACUUCUUCAAAUCACUUUCACAGACCUAAUCUUUGUUUGCAAACACUGAAUGAGAUUAGGGGAUAUUGGUGUUAUUUUACAAAUAGAGGGACUGAGACCCAGGGAGGCUGAAUGACGCGCCAGCUUGAGGCCAGUCCCAGUGGAGAAAUCAGGUUUCUUGUGCGAGUGUGGGGCUUUCUAAAACAAUGGUCUCUGUUCUUAAGACGAGGGGAGUAUCUGUGUGUCUGCCCCGUGACCGUGACUGGGAGAUUCCCAGCCUGGCCCUGAGUUGUUACAGUGUCAUGCAUAUAGGUCACACUGACCUAAGCUCCAAGGAGACUGAAGGGUUUCAUCUUUGUCUUCUUCCUCCUCACUUCCUCCUCGUGCCCUGGAGUAGCCUGCCGGGGCUUCUCUUCCUUGUUCCCAGGGCCAGAUGUCGGAGGCCAUGGACCAGCCAGCUGGGGGUCCUGGAAACCCAAGGCCAGGAGAGGGUGAUGAUGGCAGCAUGGAGCCGGGCACCUGCCAGGAGCUUCUGCACCGACUGCGGGAGCUGGAGGCAGAGAACUCGGCACUUGCCCAGGCCAACGAAAACCAGCGGGAGACUUAUGAGCGCUGUCUGGACGAGGUUGCCAACCACGUGGUGCAGGCGUUGCUGAACCAGAAGGUGAGUAGCCCAGACACCCUGGGGAGAAGCCCUGGGCACAGCAGAUGAGACCCUUCCUGGAGACUAAGGGCUUGGAGGAGAUGGGCUGUUGCCCUCCGGUGAUUCCCCAUCUUUCCGCCUUGGGCGGGUCCAUACCGUUCUACCUAGAGGCAGAGGUGGGACUAGGUAAGGCCAGGUCUCUGAGCAGUGGUCACUGAUUUCAGCAUGACUCCGUCCCUUACCCUGUCCCCAGCUGGCUUUUCCAGGUUGUGAUAGUCCUUAAAGCAGUGUUGAUGUUGUGAGCCUAAAUGGCAUCUGAAUAUUUACUCACCUAUGGUGGAUAACUUCUUGACAUCAGGGCCACUUUGACUCCAAGGCCUUGCUCUGUCUUAUAUAGGCCCUUUUUUAAUGUGUGGUUUCUAAGAGGCAGAGGGCCAGGCGUGGUGGCUUACGCCUGUAAUCCCAGCACUUUGGGAGGCCGAGGUGGGCAGAUCACGAGGUCAAGAGAUCAAGACCAUCCCAGCCAACAUGGUGAAACCCUGUCUCUACUAAAAAUACAAAAGUUAGCUGGGCGUGGUGGUGCACUCCUGUAGUCCAAGCUACUAGGAAGGCUGAGGCAGGAGAAUCGCUUGAACUCAGGUUGUGGAGGUUGUAGCGAGCCGAGAUUGCACCACUGCACUCCAGCCUGGUGACAAAGCGAGACUCCGUCUC
Molecule: small RNA, 2598 nt
Filed under: Pongo abelii (Sumatran orangutan)
Lineage: Eukaryota; Metazoa; Chordata; Mammalia; Primates; Hominidae
Description: retained intron
Source: RNAcentral